Molecule: ribosomal RNA, 674 nt
Filed under: Salmonella enterica subsp. enterica serovar Chester
Lineage: Bacteria; Pseudomonadati; Pseudomonadota; Gammaproteobacteria; Enterobacterales; Enterobacteriaceae
Also listed under: 1 other name
Description: partial 23S ribosomal RNA
Rfam family: Bacterial large subunit ribosomal RNA
Source: RNAcentral
AGACCCGAAACCCGGUGAUCUAGCCAUGGGCAGGUUGAAGGUUGGGUAACACUAACUGGAGGACCGAACCGACUAAUGUUGAAAAAUUAGCGGAUGACCUGUGGCUGGGGGUGAAAGGCCAAUCAAACCGGGAGAUAGCUGGUUCUCCCCGAAAGCUAUUUAGGUAGCGCCUCGUGAAUUCAUCUCCGGGGGUAGAGCACUGUUUCGGCUAGGGGGCCAUCCCGGCUUACCAACCCGAUGCAAACUGCGAAUACCGGAGAAUGUUAUCACGGGAGACACACGGCGGGUGCUAACGUCCGUCGUGAAGAGGGAAACAACCCAGACCGCCAGCUAAGGUCCCAAAGUCAUGGUUAAGUGGGAAACGAUGUGGGAAGGCCCAGACAGCCAGGAUGUUGGCUUAGAAGCAGCCAUCAUUUAAAGAAAGCGUAAUAGCUCACUGGUCGAGUCGGCCUGCGCGGAAGAUGUAACGGGGCUAAACCAUGCACCGAAGCUGCGGCAGCGACGCUGAUGCGUUGUUGGGUAGGGGAGCGUUCUGUAAGCCUGCGAAGGUGGCCUGUGAGGGUUGCUGGAGGUAUCAGAAGUGCGAAUGCUGACAUAAGUAACGAUAAAGCGGGUGAAAAGCCCGCUCGCCGGAAGACCAAGGGUUCCUGUCCAACGUUAAUCGGGGCAGGGUG